AGCAGCCGCGGUAAUUCCAGCUCCAAUAGCGUAUAUUAAAGUUGUUGCAGUUAAAAGCUGUAGUUGAAUUUCGGGUAUGUCAGUAUGCUGCGUGCUUGUGUACUGGCUCUAUCGUGUUCCUCAUCCUUUCUGGAAAUCGUCAGGAUCGGUACAUUUGCAAUUUUUAAUUUGGGGGUUGUUGCUGGGGAAAUUUCAGGGACUGUUACUUUGAAAAAUUAGAGUGUUAAAGCAGCUAGGCUUGAAUACAUUA
This 250-nucleotide ribosomal RNA is filed under the name uncultured Glomeromycotina. RNAcentral describes it as "partial small subunit ribosomal RNA". It matches the Rfam family "Eukaryotic small subunit ribosomal RNA", at positions 569 to 806 of the family's 1831-position model. The record is from RNAcentral. Lineage: Eukaryota; Fungi; Glomeromycota.